GACGAACGCUGGCGGCGUGCUUAACACAUGCAAGUCGAACGGAAAGGCCCUGCUUUUGUGGGGUGCUCGAGUGGCGAACGGGUGAGUAACACGUGAGUAACCUGCCCUUGACUUUGGGAUAACUUCAGGAAACUGGGGCUAAUACCGGAUAGGAGCUCCUGCUGCAUGGUGGGGGUUGGAAAGUUUCGGCGGUUGGGGAUGGACUCGCGGCUUAUCAGCUUGUUGGUGGGGUUGUGGAUUACCAAGGUUUUGACGGGUAGCCGGCCUGAGAGGGUGAAAGGCCACAUUGGGACUGAGAUACGGCCCAGACUCCUACGGGAGGCAGCAGUGGGGAAUAUUGCACAAUGGGCGGAAGCCUGAUGCAGCAACGCUGCGUGCGGGAUGACGGCCUUCGGGUUGUAAACCGCUUUCGCCUGUGACGAAGCGUGAGUGACGGUAAUGGGUAAAGAAGCACCGGCUAACUACGUG
This 468-nucleotide ribosomal RNA is filed under the name uncultured bacterium. RNAcentral describes it as "partial 16S ribosomal RNA". It matches the Rfam family "Bacterial small subunit ribosomal RNA", at positions 28 to 507 of the family's 1533-position model. The record is from RNAcentral.